GAACCAGUAAUUUCGGAGUGAUCAUCUUUUCUCUUCCUUAGCUCACAGAUAUUUGCUGCUAUCUGUUUUACGCUUUCACAAUAACUUCCAUUUGCAUCACUCUUUACAUGACUACAUCUGAGAGAAGUGUACGCUUUCUUUAGCUUGCCCAUGGUGAUGUGAAGAUGAGAAGAAAUAGCAAGGCCCAACCAGUUCUUCAUCUGGAGACAGUUCAACGUUCUGCAAACCAGAUCUUCAGGAAUUUUACUGGGAUAAUUAUCCAAAUAAAUUGCAAGCAUUCUAUCCAAAUGGAGCUCUUUCUGAGAUGAAGAGAAUUCUCAAUGUCAAGAUUUGAACAAGAAGAGAAUGGAAUACACAAUAUGGACAUCCAUAAAAAUUCAUCAGAGAGCAUUUUACUACUGAGCUGCAAAGGGAAAAACUUAAAAUGGAUAUGAAAAGUGAAGAAAGUGAUCAUAGGAGAAAACCAUUUCAGAUGACAAGAGCACCUCAAAGGCAGCAGCCUCAAGGAGCAGCCAUGGCCCCAGACUUGUCGCACGGAUGCAGAAAACUUAAUGGAGGAGGCUGAGGUCAGAAUGGGAAGAGUUUUUAAAAAAUAAAAAGGGGAGCUAAUAUGUGA
This 616-nucleotide long non-coding RNA is filed under the name Homo sapiens (human). Its description in RNAcentral is "mir-99a-let-7c cluster host gene". Lineage: Eukaryota; Metazoa; Chordata; Mammalia; Primates; Hominidae. The record is from RNAcentral.